AAGGAGACACAGACAACUUCGCUCUAAUAAAGUACCUUUCCUGUGGUGUUCUCAGGAUACCCAACAAACAGUAAAUGAAGACUCACAAAAAUGUCCCUCUUACCCUCCCAACCAUCAUCAUCUGACUUGUAGGAAUGAGGCAGAAAGAACUGAUGCCUCACUGGUGAUUUUAAUAACAAUUUUUGCUAUAUUUUUUUUAUCGUUUGUGGUACAAGAAACAUGGAUAGUUCAUCUUUGAAGGAGGGCAGAAAGUAUUUGUCUCCUUUGGAUGUAUUCUUCACAAUGGAAAAAACAUUGAAUAUAAUUCUUGACCUGCCAGCACCAAUUGGAAUUUGCUGCUGGUUUCUGUGAAGACAGGAUUUCCUCUGUGGUACAAAUUAGUAAUUUUUCUUUGUAUAGUCACUUACUAUAGUAAGUGUGUAUAGUGACUUUGUAUAGUCACCAUGUUUCUGAGGAUCUUGCAUGUGUGAUACGAGCACGAAUGCAUUUUAGUUAGUGUUGCAGUAUUUGAAGACAUCACAAAAGUUAAAAUCAUGUUAGGAUCAGAACCUAGAAGUAUUUAAUUUGUUUUCAAAACCCAAAUCCAGGUUUCAUUAGUGGUCCUGUACUGUAUAAAUUUGCAAAUGAUAGAGUUGUAAAUUAUGCAUUGGAACCCAAACUUGCACUAUGCUUUUUUUUUUUUUUUCAAUAAUACAUGCUAAAACUUGAGUUGUGGUGGAAAAAGAGGUUCCAUUUCUUCCUGCAGAUGCGGGACAGAAUGUGACUUCAAAAUACAGCCUUGCCCAUUUUGCAGCUGUGUGACUACUUCCACUUUUUUAUAUUUAUCUUUAAAAAUGAGAUACUCUUUAGAAUAUCAUACCCUUAUGUGACAUCAAUUCUAUAUGCUUAGUAAUAAACCAAAUACAAAUUGAUCUUGCUGAUACUGCAAGAUUUAUUUUCAGUAUACCUAGGCUGGAGUAUAUUCUGAUGAAUUUUUCCUGUGAGACUGGCAUCUGUUAAUAAAAACAUUUAGACAGAUUCCUCCAGAAGUACAUGUUUGUAAAGUUUUCCAGUGGAAAAAUAUGAAUUUGAAGUUUGUUUGCCUUUUUUUUUUAGAGUGUACUCAUGACUAACUGUGUGCGUGUGUUCACUUUUGUGGAAGUACACAUGCAUAUUGGGAAAUCUGACAUUUGUGUUCCAAAACCUCUGUAUAUCAGGUGGAGGAGGAGGAUAUUUCUUUUCUUCUUUGCAAAGAAUGAAAAAUGGUCAUGUGUGUGUUAAAAAUAAGGAAUAUGAUUAAUUAAGCAGUGAUUAUGGUGUUGUGCCUGGAGGGCACAGGUAAUAGGAUGGGAAACAAAAAUUACCGGAAAGCUCAGAGUGGGCCAUAAUGUUCUUGCAUGCUAGCAGAGAAGCUUUUAAUCAGAUCCUGAAAUGAUGAGGGUGUCACUGCAGAUGUGUGAAAAGAAAUAUUAUUUUCCAUUCAGAUGAUGAACGGAAUGAUGACCUGGAACAUUUUGGGAAUGUUCAGAUUUGGAGGAUAAUAGGGAAACAGAAUACAGUGUAUUAGCCCAAAUACAGAUGUUUCUGAACAUGUUUUUGAUUUGCAAAAAAGGUAAAAAACAUGGCAGAAAAAUGUGCCUCUGUAGAAGGGUAAGCAGCAGGGAACCAUGCUGGGGGAGUUCUCCCUGUUCUUGCCACAGAGAGGCUGUGGUGGUUGGUGGUCAAAAAAAGAAUGAACUAAGGACAUCAUGAGAGCGCUGCCCUAGGAUCAUCAAUUAUUUGGAGUAACAACAGGUUAUAUUUUCUGUGUCCAAUAGUUGCUGCAGAAAUGAUCUGUUGUCACACUCUGCAUUGCCUAGUCAUAUUUAAAAUGCAGAUUUCAUUUAUCAUCCAUAAGGGUGUUGUAAACUCUUGCUACUAUGAUUAACUAGCCCUUCCUCUUCCCCAUAUGUUUGAGUUUCACAGUCUUUUUUUUUGAUACUGUCGUUUGGGAGGAGGUGGAAUAUUUGACAGGCAAAUGGUCAAACUCUUUUCUAGUGCAGGUGGUGUUUGGCAAGAAGUGGUAGACAUUUAUAGACUGAGGAAAUGCAGUAUAACAGCACUUCCUUUAAAUUUUAAAUUACAUUGAAAUUGAUCAGUACUGAUGUCUGCAUUUAUAAGCCAUACAAUAUUGUUUUGCAUGCUGAAACAUUGUUAGAUUUUGCUUAUAAGGAAAUUGCUUCUGUGAAAUGAAAUGAUGCCAUGAAAUACAGUUUCUGUAUCUGUUUCAAGCAUAUAACAUAAAUAUGUCUGUCUGUAGCAAUACACAGACUCUAACUUUCAUUCUGCUGAUUGAAAAUCAGCUUUCUUAGGCUUGGGCUGUCUUAGGACAUACGUGGGUAGGAUAGAUAUAGAUAUGUUUUACUCUUGUAAGGUAAAUUAUUUUCUUUCAAAAGGAAAAGUAUCUUUUUAUAAUAAUGAACAGAAGACUGGAAGGGAAGGCUAAGUCUAGUCUAGUCUCAUGUUGUAGAAAGUUAAGUCGUAAGUAAACCAUAAAUUGAUUAUACAUCAUGUUGCAACCCUUUAGAGGGUUGUAUGUGGAGGGUUUCUUGGUUACUUUUUUUGUUCUCUUUUUCCAAUGACAUAUACUGUAAACCUUAUCAAGAGUACCCUGAUGUCUUAUUCCUGGGAUACCUAGUUAUCUUCUGAAUUCCACACAGGAUGUAUUCCUGUUCAUUUUGUUUCUGUUUCUUCUGAGACUGACCUUCACUUUCAGCAGCUGUGCCUGACAUUAUUCCCUUUCAUCUCUCAGACCCCUUUUUUCCAAGCUAAGCUAGCCAAACUCUUUUGGGCACUUCAGUGAUGAUAGACCAUCCCUCUAACCAUUGUGCUUGGGAUCAUCAGCUCCUCUCCUAGUUUGAAUCCACUUUUCCUGGGCUUGACUGAACAGAAAGCUACAUCAAAUGGUGCGAUAGUCUCUGUUGUAAGUAAGUACCACCUACCCUAAGUGUUUAACUUGAGGUGCAAGAUUGCCUGUAUAAUCAAAGGGGAGAGAUGGACAUUUCUGCAUAGCCAUUCACAGACAUUUAGGCAAUUUCUAUUAUUUAGUUCAAUGUCAGUUGUCUACUAAGUGUCCUGUCCAAAUUCAUGUCCUUAGUUUUGUUAACCCCUUCCUAAUUUCUGUGACUAGAUUGUUGGUGAUGAGAUUAUCUAAGAUUGGUCCCAUGGCUGAUCAGAGAUGAACUUUUAGCAACCUCUUUUAUCUGAAUACUUUCUUUUCAGCAUUACACUCGUGUUCCUUUUAAGGUAUCUGUUACUUAUCCAGCAACUCUUGUACAAAUUACCAGCAUUUGCUGCUUAACUAAUAGUUUCCUGUGCUGGAUUCAGUCAGAUACUUCACUGAGUCCUGUGUGGACUUAAUCUGAAUAGUUUGUUGAAAAAUUCACAUGACUUAUGGAAAGAAAGACUCAAGUUAGCUGGGCAGGGUCUAAUUCUAGUAAAUCCACAUUGUGUUUUCUCCCAUUUUCCAAGCACAUUGAGGUUUAUGGUGUCUUCUCUUCCAUAUUUGUCCUAAAACUUUGUAUAUUAUUGAAGUCGGACUAUAGGUCUGACUGGCUGGGCAGUUUGAGAAAUUUCUCUCCUUUUCUUCCUCAAAUACAAAACAAUGUUGAUCUGUUUUCCUUUAGCAUGUGUCCUAGGAUAGAGACUGUCUACUUCAUUGCAAGAUCUUUGGGGUUUUGCUUCUAUUUCAUUUUGGUAAUUCUUGUUCUGUAAUCCUUUUUUCCUUUAAUCCACCCUACCCUUGACUGUAUAGUCAUUGUUUCUGUUGAAAAGUAAAUCAAGUGUUAAUUUAGUUACAGAGUUAUACUUAGGGGAUCUUUAAUCGUAGUGUUAUAUACAAUACAUAUGCAAUGCACUUUCUUUUCUCUUUAUUAAUAUAUUUGAUGAACAUUUUAAGGAAUUCCAAACUCUUAAGCUCUGUAAUUCUCUGAUUUUUUUUUUUUUAAUGAUCUUUUGCAGUAGAGAACUUAGAUCUGUGUAUCAUUUCAUUUGAUUUAAAGUGAGUUAGCCCAUGAUCAUUCAGAUCAGAUCUCACCUGAUUUAACGGACCACAAAUUUAAAACUCAACUGCAGCAGUAUGGGUUCAUUGGCUACUUGGUGAAGAUACGCCCAUCACUCAUGUGGAAGCAGCCAGGACCAACAGCUAUAAGCAGUAUUUCUCUGUGUAUGGGAAGUACAAGUCUUUCAUACUACACUGUCCUGACAUGUCUUUCUCCCUUGUAACAGUGUAGAGCUGUGCCUGUCUGUCACCUUAUUUGGUGGCCCAUAGAGAACCUGGGGUUGGGUGACCAAUUCCAUUUCUAUACUAUUAGAGCCCUCCUUUUCCAGACUGAUUUUGAUAUCUUUUUUUCUUUAAGUCUAUCACAUCAUUAAUAUGCAAAACUACUACAAUGUCAUAACCAUUUCAUUUUACCUGAAUGCUUUAAAAUACAGGCAAGUACCCUUUCAAAGCUGUGUUUUUGUCAUGAUUGCUAGUCUAUCAUGUCUGUGUUAUUCCUUGGAGAUCCAUUUUAUCAUGAUCUCUGUAGUUAGCAUUAGUCAUUUCAGUGCCCAUACAGCAUAGCAUUUCUUGAUACAGGAAGAUUAAUCUUAUUUGCAUACAAUGAGUGAUUCCUUAGGCUUUUCAACUGCAGCUACCUUGUCUGUUUUUUCUUAAGAUUAUUGCUGUAAAGAUAUUGAACAGCAGCUCAGGAGAUUUAGGUUCAACUUAUGGAUUGGGUUUGUUUUCAAAUGUUCAUGUGCAUCUUAGUUUUUCUGUGCCUCUUUGCCUGUUUCUCUCUGUCAGAUCCAGGGCAUAUACUUAUUAAUGACUGGCAAGUACUCAAGUAAUAUGGUGGCAAAUUCUGUGAAAAUAGAAUCAGAGAAUCAUAUAAUGGUUUAGGUUGGAAAGGACCUGAAGAUCAUCUAGUACCAAUACGUUUUGAUGAUGAAUGCUGUUAAGUCCCCGUAAUGCAAAAAUUAUUUUAAAAGUAGAGAAAAUACAAAGCCAUUAGUGAAUGAUGAUAGAAAAGUAAGACAUACUGCAGAAAAAGACACUGAAAGAACUGUAUUAAAUGGAGGACUCGGGAGAUUUACAGUUACAGACUAUAAAUAAUUGCAGAGAUAAUAGUAUAAAUGAAAGAAGGGAAUUGUCCACAUUCUCAGAAGAAGGAAAGACAUGAUGCAGGGGCCUGAAGCUGAAACAGGAAAAUCUCAAGUCAUUAAGGAGGUGUUUCUUACAAUGAGAAUAAUUGGAUGGUGAACGAGAGGGCACAGCAGCAUCACCACAGAUGGGCAAUCAAGGCUGUGGGCAUUCGUGCAAAGUGAAGCUGGACAGAUUAAGUGACGUAGAUGAGCUUCUCCAGCUGCUACUCAUUUCAAGAGUUUACAGAAUCAGUUUGUUUCUCUACAUCAUCUUCCUAAAAUCCCAUAUCCUUCUAUGUCUGACAGUCACAUUGUUCCAAUGGGGUAUCAUACUGAAAUUCAUCUUUGCAGCUAGGAUUAUGAGUCCCAGUGGCUUCAGUGAGAUAAGGGUCAAUCUCAUUGCAUUUUCUGUUGAGAUUAAGUGUGUUUUCUGCUCCGGUUUUCCGAGCAUGUCCCAUCUCUCUCUGACUGCUGUUUACUCAGCCCUUCGCGACUAGGUUCUCAUUAUUAUCUCUAUUGUUGUUUUCAAGUGCGCUGUUUAUGUUAUAUGUAAACAUAAUGGGUGCUGGUGGCAAGUUGCCAAAGAACCCCCUUCAGUUAAGAAAGAGAUGAAGUAAAAGAUGUGUUUUGUUCUGAUACUUCAGCUAUAGGCAGUGGUUGAAGCCAGCAUGUGAAAAAGGUUCAGUAUGACCCUAUUCUGUUUCUUCUUCCUGUGUGUGUCACUCAGUUUGUUGCUAUGUUGGUGACACCAUCUUUUUCUGACUAAUUGCAGCAGGUGUAUGCAGCUAUGUGGUUUAUGUAGGUUUUAUUUGGGUUAUUCAGAAUAAAAAAAAAAAAAAAAGAGGAUCAUGGCCUACUUGUAUUUGGCUUGGAUAUGGCAGAAACAUGCACACAAAAAAAUCCCCAUGGGAAAAUGCCUGUAUUCUUUGUUCUCUCAUGUUACAAGGUUUCUAAGUUCUCUUAAUGUAAAUAACGAAGAACAACCACCCCUAUUUUAUUUUUGGUGUUUUUGCUAGACAGUCAUUUCUGUGACAGGAACAAAACCAGAAAAUGCAUGUUUCAACACGUGUGAGUUCCCAGAGUCUCACAUGGCAUGCGCUUGUCUACAUGCUGUCCAUGAGUGUCACCAAAGACUGGUACUUGAUAUUACCCUUGUUUGUCAUGGUUGUUGCACUGCUCUGAAUCAGUAACAAGCAAGGAGACUUCUCGCUUUUAACCUGAGAGUUAGCUCAGAGGUGGGGUAAGGCUCCAAAUAAGCAGCCCCAGGGAAAAACUACAAAAUGGGAACGUGACUGGCUUUAGUGCUGCAUGCUGCUCUACAGCUGGAGCUGGAAGGCCCAUCUGUAGGGUUAAGGUCAGAGCAGCAUUCAGUCCUUUGUCAGCAGGCUGUUAGUGGCAGUGGGAUCUGCUCUGUUUCUUAUUUAUUUUGCAGGGAGAGGGUUCUCUGAUACGUACUUACGUGCUGUGCUCCGGAGGUAUCAAUAAUUCAAGCUUUGUGACAGUUCUGUGAAAGAAUUUAUGCAGAGGAGCCUAAGGGAUGGCCACAGGACUGGUUCAGCAGGAAGGCAAUUGCCAUGUUAAGCUGUCCUGGUUGUUUGUUUACCCACUUCUUGCUGCCUCACUGUGCCAGGAGUCCCUAGUGCUGCUUUAUUUGUUUCCACUUCUGAAGGCAGUUAUUGUCUCAGGUGGUGGUUUUGGAUGAGUGAUCCUCAGAAGCUGUGCAUUUGAGGGGAGAAAGCCCUGGGGCUGAAAAACUGUAAGCACCCAAAUCUUCUCAGACACUUCCCAGAUGCUCAAACUGGAGCAUCUUUGUGUUUCAGGGACCAACCCUUGACCCCGGGCAGUCAAGAGAAGAGUGGUGAAUUUCUUCUGGAAUAUAUUCAGCUGCAAUGGCACUUUGUAACUGAGCUCAUACCUGAGCUUUGCCUGGAUCUGAGUUUUAAUAUUUCUAAGGAAAUAGCGGUAUGAGUAUCUUCUAUGUGGUUUCUGAUGUGCUUUUUCCCAUUAGUUCAAUUUUAAUCGAAAUUCUUCAGUAAAGUCAAUGUUUUAUACAUCUAUGCUUAACAUCAGGAUACAGAAUCUAUAUUUGGACCUUAAGCAGAAGCAUCUUGCUGCUCAGACUGAAAGUUAAAGAGUUUUAUGUGCCUAACUUCAGGCCUCUGGUUCAGUAAACAUGCCUAGUUUUUGCUUUCCACCCCUGUGUAACUGAGCAGUAACAAUUCUCAGAGCAGUAUCUUGCCAAAGGCACGCCUGGCAGCUGCCUGGGUAAAGCUAGCUGCUGUGGUUCUGCUUUUAGUAUGGAUAUAAAUGAAGCAAUAGACUUUCUUCCUAGGCUUCAAUUUUGGCCAAGGAUAUUAUAUUAUUUAGCUUUGUGUUAGCAGCUGUGGAAGUACUUAUGUGGUCACUUUGCUAAUUAGUUUCACUUUUAUUUUUGAGUUUACUAAUAUUUCAGUCCAUUACUUUAUCGAAAAGCAUUUGUAAUAUCCAUUCAUUGAAACAUUCUAUCUGUGUUGCUAACAUAUGUGGGUAAGUAUGUAUCUGCCUGUGUAGGGGAAGUAUAUAAUAUUCUCUGUGUGUUGUAUAAUUUAGAGGUGGAUCAUUCCAAGUAAAAAGAGAGCUUCAGAAAAGAAAUAUUUGUAAAGGUGCAGUGUAGCUGCUCCUUAGGAACCUAAAGUAUAAUGAUGUCAAUGGGCAGAGAAUUGUCUUUCCAUUGUGACAGUUAACUCUUACUGUUACAGUUUUCUAGCUGUUUUCAUCAUUGUUAAAUAUUAUUAUUCAUUAAUACUGAUGAUAGUAGUAAAUAAAAUCAUAAAGUCUUCACCUAUUUUUUUUUUUUACAGGUUCCAGUGAGACUCGUAUCAGACUUGGGCGUGAGUGGAGACUGACAUUAGCAUCUGCCUUUGUAGGCUGGCAUGUGGCUAUGUGCAGCUGGAGGUUAAGUAGUUUAAGGGGGACCUACGGAAAAACUGGGCAAGAAAGGCACCUCCAGACUCACUAGGAAAGGCUCAGAUGUUCCUAUGUAGCUCUUGACAGAUAUUUGUGUAAUGUGUUUUUCAAGCCAUCCAACAAUGAAGACUCCAGGCCUUUUUCUGCAACAGCAAGACAUAGUUGACUCUUCAGUUUGUUAUCUACAGUUUUUGUCCUGAUAUUUAAGAUGCAUUAAGCUUUACUGGGAGAAAGUUAACAGUAUGCUAAGGAUGCUACAUUUGUGUUAUGAUUUGGACAAGAACAAGAGGCUGUGAGUGUAUCUGCAAAUUUAACUUACAUAGAUUUACUCAUGGUUAAACAAGCCAGAUGCUUAGAGCUUGUUUAUCUGAUGUAUGAAGAAAUUUUCAAGGGCACUUAGCAGAGGUGAAAACUUCAGUUACAGCUGUUCUGUGAGGCAGAAGCAGUCCUACAAUUAUGCACAAAUUCAGCUUUUGAAUUGAUCCAAAUGUCACUAGGCAAAAUAUCACACUAGAAGUCAAAGAAUCCGGGUCCUGUGAAUAAAAUGAUCAGUGUACACACUGCUGGCUGGACUCCUUGCACUUAAAAGUCAAGGUGCAGGCGGGUGAUGAAAUCUACCCUCUGCUAGCCAGAGGGCAGAAGGCAGAGAGUGGGAUGGCAGCCAGCAGCUUGCUCUCUUUCCUUGUGUGCUCUGGCAGUGAGGCUGUCUCCACGCUUGCCCCAUUCCAGCGUCUGACCCUGCUGCUGGGGAGUGAGCCAAACUCCUCCUAGGUUUCUGCCUGUGCCCUGUGUCUGUUUCCAAGGCAGAGUUUUCCAUGAAAUCAUACUUCUGCGCUUGCAGAUUACAGAGUAAUAAAAGUCAAAUGACAGCUACCCCAGUACUAGGGACCUCUGCAAACUCUAGAUUAUUAUUUCACAGUGGUUGAUCCAUGUGGUAGCAGAUAGAGUCUUAUAGUAUAAUUGCCCACUACACUGGGUCACAGCUGGCACAGUAUAUGAACAUCUCCCUUCUUAGUCCCACCUUUUCCAGGUAGUAGCUCCAGCAAGUUCAUGUUGGAAGACAAGAUUUCUGUCACUGAAACUAGCAUCCCGAACUGUGUGUGCAGGGGCAAUGUGGUAAUACUGCAUGCAUGGCCAGAUUCAUUUCUGCAUGAAGGUCUUCCCUGUUCUCUUUUCCAGUGGUAAGCCUCACACUUCCAGUUUGAAAGGCCAGACUAGGUAAGUUUUUAUAGAGUUUACCUCACCAGAAAGAUGCUUGAGAUUGUUGUCUUCAGUGUUAAUGUAUGAACAAAGUAUUUGUCUGAGCGCGUGCUGUUUAAAGUGUAUCAUUUCUUUAUGCUCGUAUUCAUUAGAUGACUUGAUAUAAAGGUGUACAUUCUCCUUCCACCUAAAUUCCCUGAUUUGAAUUGUUAUCAGCAGCAGAAUCGCAUAGGUACAUGGUAGGAGAACGGUAGCUCCACUAUGACCUAACAUUGUAAUCUGAGUUUUAAAAAAUACCUACAUACUAACAUCCAGCACAGUAGGAUCGCUGAGUGUGUUUUUAUAGUGCAGAAACAGUGAUCUGCAAUAUUUUUUUAAAGGAAUUUUUGUUUCAGUGUUAUUUAGAUUGCCAUUUCUAAAUGGUACAGCUUUUCAGUUGAAUUAAUGUUUUUCACCUGUACUGCUUAGCCAAGCUUUGUUUUAUUUUGAUUUUUUUAGUUGUUAUUUAAAUGUUUUAAAGUUUUAAAAUCAUAUGAUGUUGAAAACAGCUUGUUAAUUAACAAAUAGUUCCCCACUCUUGUUUCUUGAAACACUGAAGACACAAAAGAGCCUUAAUUGACUCCUAAUGGCCUAGAUUAAGAAUAAUGGUGUAACUGCUAUAUCACAAGUUAAGCAGCUCACAGUCUGUAAUGUAUUUCCCACCACAGCAGGGAUGGGAGAUGGGAUAUUCUGUUACCUCAGCUUUAUAGGUGGAGGGAUCUCAAGGCAUAAGAGAUUAAACCUGCCACAGAGCAAGGAGUUCAGGCAUCAGCAAUUAAGACCCUUUCUUUUUGAGUGAUACAGCUAGAACCCAAUAAAGAGCUGGAGCAUGUUCACAUACGAACCAGAUUAGCUGUAAUGCAUAUUAAAACAUGGCCACAAGCUAUUUUUUGCUAAUACAACAUGCCGCAUUGGUAUAACCAAAGUUACAUUCGUAUGAAUUUCCUACCAUCAAAUGCAGCAAAACUGCAAAUCUUGCAAAAACAAUAAAGCUGGCUUAUGUGUACACUUAGGCCCAGCUCUUGCCCUCUUUGGAGGUUGUGGGAAUCCCUCCGUUUAUAGAGUGGGCUCUUCAGAGUUCUCAGAUUUCACUCUGUUCCUGUUGAAGACAUCUCCCACAGGCAUAUUUAAGUGAGUUAGGGUAAAGGUACCCAGGGGUAGUUUAAAGGAUCAAGUUUAGGUUGCUUGUUUAACUCUCACUACAGGCACUUAAGUUCCUGAGUGACAUAGGCAAUUUAAGAAACACACCUUGCUCAUUCUAAUGAAAAUCUGAAUACUGGUCCUUGAGGCUGAUCUCAGUUACACAUACAGUGCGACAGGUGGUACUUGUUUCCAUUCCCAGAGGGGAAAAAUAUUGAUUAUUUUUUGUUAUUGGAUUUUGCAUAACUGAGCUGUUUCCCUUACUGCAGGCAAACUGCAUUCAGCCAUUAACUUCAGUUGCUUAACUGAAUAAUUUGAAAGUUUCUAAUUUCAUUCUACCACUUGAUAUCCUUAAAUGUUUUUGGGUUUUUUUGUUUUGUUUUUUUUUUUUUGUACCAGUAGAUUUUUUCUGGCUCUUUAAAGACACAUCAAUACUGGUACCUUUUACUAGAGUUUUGCUUUCACAGUGUCCAGCUUAUGAAUAAUGCUUCCUAAUUCAAUUUUAAAUAAACUAGUAUGAAUAUUGAGAAGUCUGCAAGAUAUGAAAUGAUAAAUAAUGUAGGUAAUUUCAAAAAGAAAGAAGCAACUGCUUGUAACUAUGUAUGACACUAAAUAGGUCCUAGCACCAUGUAUUAAAGCUGGCUUCUUUUAACAUUAGGUAGAUGUUAGUAAGGCACAGAAUUAUUUCAUUACUUAGACAAGUCUUUUAAUUUCUUUUUGAGAUAUUACAUGUGUUAGUUGUACAUGCUCACUUCUUAAAGGAAAAUUCAACAUUUAUCUAGGUGCAGGUAUUUGCCAGACACACCUAAGUUGUCAGAAUACUCGCCUAGCAUACCUGGUGUGCCUAUACCUCACUUGAAAUGCUGCGGUUUGAUUUCUACCUGACUCACAAAAUAGUGGGCCUAAUUCUUCCUUCCCCUCCUGUGCUGAUUUUUAUAUUUCUCUUUACUACUGCAAGUACUCUCUAACAUCUAAUAACAGAUCUCAUUUUCUGCUCUGCACUUUGUAUAGUCUAUUAUUUUUGUGUAUAGAGUAUGAUCUUGCUUUUCAAUUUGUUUUUUUCUACACUUCUUUUGCUUUCUGUUUGCAUAACCUUACAUAUUUUCAGAGAUACGGAGCAGUAGGGCAUCCAGCUUUGUCAAUAGACUUAGAGAGGAGAGAGAAGGAGAGAGGGAGAGAGUGAAAGAGUGGAGUUAAUUUCCAAUUGUAUACACAAAACAAGUAAUAAAAAUACUUGCUUUUGUGUCAUUGGUGGUGUGGUAAACAGCCUGGCUGAGGUACACAGUAAAAACUGGGUAAACCCAAUAAUGGCCAGGUUAAAAAAUAUAUUAGCCCUUAUUUGUGCUGAACUAUGAAUGAAGUGAUGUGAACUAAACCACUCAUUAACUAUGCUAUGUGGUCAAAAUAUUUAUAGGUUUAUUGACGUCUUAAAAAGUGUCGUGGGAAGGAGAAAAAUAACUGUUACAGCUGAACCCAGGACAAAAGACAAGCUUAACCAAAGAGGAUUUCUGUAGUACAUAGGCGUCUUGAACAUGAAAAAUGGCCAAAUUUAGCUUUGUAAGACGGCCAGUAACAAAACUGGAAGACACAUACUGGUGUCUUGUAUGCCUUUCAAAACCCAAGUAAUUAGAGGAGUAUUCCUCAAACCAAAUGGAAAUAGGUGGUUCCUGACAACAAGGGACAGCCAAAUCGUUCCUAGGAUUUAUUAGAGAUAAACAAUGCCAGAAGAUGACUGGAUAGCUUGCAUAAUGCAAAAGGUUUCCAUUGUCUCAGAAUGGAAGAUUAAGUGAAAUACAGUGCAUAUACUUUGAAAUCUAGAAUAGAAGCUUUGCAGACAUUCAGAUCUUCUGGAGAGAAGUUGUAGCCUUCAGUCUGAUGGUACUGUGAAUAUGACUACAUGGUUGAUUGCACUCAUGCACAAAUUCCUUGUGCCUCUGUGUUCAGCUGCCUGGACACAAGCUAGCUCCAGGUCAAAAGCAUGUUUGUGAAGCCCAGCCCACAUCGCUCUGCCUCUGAGCACGGCUUAUUAGCUUGGGCACAGUGUCACCCUAACAAGGUCACAAGGGUUUUCAGUUUGGAGCUGGCUGGAGGCCCAUUAUAUUGGUGUGCAGGCAAAAGGAGUUCAUAUCUGCUUGGUGUAGCUCAUUUAUGUGCAUCCCAUAAGAGCUUAGCAGACUCCCAGGACUGGAUAAGCAUCCCUUGUAACACUGAGGUUAAGAAAAGGCAAUAACAUGCUCUGGAGUUCUUUUAAACAAAAUAGCUUUAAUUGAGCAAGCCUGUAAACUACUUUUGGACUGAGUUAUUGAAAUAGUUUUAAAGGCCUUGCAAAGGAGCGUUGAAGGCUUUUACUUAAAAGCGUGUUAACACAUGGUUAAGGUACUGCUAUGCCAGCUUUGUCUAGCGUAGGGCUUGAGAGCACACCUGACCUGCAGGACAGUUUUACCCACUUGCAGCUCUGUGGGUACUUAACCAGUCGCAGUCCAGGCUGUUCCAAAGGGAUGGCACCGUGCCUGCCACUGGGCUUGGCCACUCAUCCCCAUGGCUUCCCUUUCCAAGUAUGAGUUUCGCACAGCUACGUAGAGAACUGGGCUGGUGGAUCAACCUGACUAAAACCUAGUUGUACCACCAUUGCUAGUUGAGCAGCUGCCUGGAUCCAGCCUGCUGUAUGGCCACGAGUGACAACACUAUCAUGAGAGGGCAGGUAGAUGCAGGUAGGGAGAAGGGGGCGAGACCACUCCUCUCAGUGCAGCACUGAUUUUCACUGUGCUGCCUCUACAAUAAUCCACACACUUACCACCCUUUGAAUAUGCCGGUAUGGCUCAACAUCAAAUUAUUAAGCCCCUCCUGAGGCACAUCAUAGCUCAGGUAUUGUGGGCACUGCUUCUGAGUCCCAAUCUGGUCCACACUGGAUCCAGGCAUUGAUUUGCCACAAGUAGGAGCAACUGAAAUCUAAGCUUAAGUACCACCACAAUUUAUCUUGAUAAUAUCUGUGUGUUACUUUAUAUAUAUAUGUAUGUAUGUGUGUGUAUGUGUUAUUUUACAUAUCUAUGUAACAUAUAUGUAUAUAUGUAUUUAAUUUUGUGAAACAGAUGGGGUUUUUUCCCCCCAUGUUGUUUUUCCUGUGCUGAAAUACUGAAAGCUGUAUUACGUCCAUCAUACAAACCAAACCUCCAGUAACAUGGUAUCACAGAGUUAAAUCUUUUGUAUGGAAAUGACCCAGAUAUGUUGGCAGGAGAGUUUUUUUCUCAGAUCACCUUAAAAAAAUUAAAAAGUUGAAUGUAUCAAAGAAUGAACUUUCAAGAUAUGACAUUACAGAAGAGGAUGGAAGACUGACUAAUGGGAAGCAGCUCCACAUGUUCCAGUUUUCAUGCCUCAUCAGUGUCUAUUCCGAUAGCCUUGAACUUGGACAAAUACUGAUUGGUAGAAGUCUAAUAUGAGGAACUAUAAAAUAAUUUGGUUUUGUUUGGAGGGAUGAUCUGUUAAAACAAGGCGCAGCCUUAAUGACGAACUGUGAUUAUGGUAUCUUAGUAGCUAGGAAAAAAAGUCUGUUCUCCAAUGUAGUAUAAUCAGCUAAAUAUGACAAGCAUUUUAGGCACAAUUUAUGGUUAUUUUUAACAGUAACAGUAGUAUUACACUACUGUGGAAUAGCAUUUAGUUCUUCAGUAAGUAUCCCUUGAGGAGCAGAAGGCGAAGCAAGACUAGAAUUCGCAUAGUUUUAAGUUACACAUUUUUCUAUAAAUAGAGUGCCGAUUAAAAUGAAAAAAAAUAGAGCAUCUAUUAAAUCUGCCAUGGAUUUCAGUGGGAACAGAAGUGGGUCAUAGGUCUGCAUAGAAACUGAAAAAGUAAUGAAAUUUAAUGCAUGGCAGUGCCAGCUCAAUGCCCCAGAUUCUCCAUCAGGUUUUGUACUGUUCUUUUUCCACAUAGAUUUGAGUUCCUGCAGUGAUUCUUGAUCUAAUAGUAUUCAUAUUUGUAAUAUGUUUCAAUAAAAAGACAUGAUUAGCCUUG
Long non-coding RNA from Strigops habroptila (Kakapo), 14472 nucleotides. RefSeq lists it as uncharacterized. The record is from RefSeq and is a predicted model, not a curated record. The transcript is spliced from 2 exons. Lineage: Eukaryota; Metazoa; Chordata; Aves; Psittaciformes; Psittacidae.